GUACUGCUGAAUAGUCCAAAACUAGGACGAAACAGCUGUCCAGUAC
Molecule: non-coding RNA, 46 nt
Filed under: Trichobilharzia regenti
Lineage: Eukaryota; Metazoa; Platyhelminthes; Trematoda; Strigeidida; Schistosomatidae
Source: RNAcentral